UACGAAGGGGGCUAGCGUUGCUCGGAAUUACUGGGCGUAAAGCGCACGUAGGCGGCUUCUUAAGUCGGUGGUGAAAUCCUGGAGCUCAGCUCCAGAACUGCCUUCGAUACUGGGAAGCUCGAGUCCGGGAGAGGUGAGUGGAACUGCGAGUGUAGAGGUGAAAUUCGUAGAUAUUCGCAAGAACACCAGUGGCGAAGGCGGCUCACUGGCCCGGUACUGACGCUGAGGUGCGAAAGCGUGGGGAGCAAACAGG
Molecule: ribosomal RNA, 253 nt
Filed under: uncultured bacterium
Lineage: Bacteria
Description: partial 16S ribosomal RNA
Rfam family: Bacterial small subunit ribosomal RNA
Source: RNAcentral